This 3064-nucleotide long non-coding RNA is filed under the name Nicotiana tabacum (common tobacco). RNAcentral's name for it is "long non-coding RNA (NTAB_LNC015027)". Lineage: Eukaryota; Viridiplantae; Streptophyta; Magnoliopsida; Solanales; Solanaceae. The record is from RNAcentral.
GGGGAAUAGGAGGAGCAUUGCUUGCAUUUGAUGGUCAUUUGGACAAUUUAAUUUAGAAAAUGAUAAAACCUUGGAACUAGAUAGACCAAACUAGUUUGAGAUUGAGACGUUGAUUAAUUAUUAACUGAAAUAGUAGAGCAAUGAAUUUAGAAGUCACUGCAAUGGGGUAAAGUACAAAAUUUGAUGAAUCCAAAGGAUACUGACAAGGGGGAAAUCUUGGAAGUUUUAUGGCUAAAAGGGAAAGCUCUAUGAAGAAAAACCUUUAUUGGGAUUAUGCACGUAAAGAGGAGGCAAUCUGCACUCGGAAUUUCAAUGUCAGGUGCAACUAAACUUUGCAUUUCCUUAGCCACUUACUGUCUUUUAAAAGUGUCAGUUUUUAGCUUCUCCUUGGAGUAUUAUAAUCCUUCUUAUGAGGGCUUUGCAGUGAUAAAAGAAUAAGGUAUUUGGUAGGAAUAUGAUACUGUUAUUGGUAGAGUGUCAAGUCCAGAAAAAUGAGUUGUGCGUAUAUUUUCUUGGUAAAAUAUUUGCUAUUCUGUUCAUGUUAUAGCAGGCUUAAACUUAAUGAGACAAGGUCACAGGCUCCAAAUAGAAGAAACGAUAUGUAACUUUGGCUUGUUAAAGAUAUCUGAUGUGCUUUUUUAAUCAUGUGAUAUCAUCCUAUAGUUCUUGCAAUUAGGGUGCAGCAGAAUGUGUCUUAUCUCUCAUAUUACAUUUAUCGUCAGUCUAUUUUUGGCAUCUGAAACCUUAGUAAAAUAGACUAAAAUGCUACUGUAAUAGAAAAUUGUUUCUUUUUAUAAAGGUGAAUGGUUCAACUAAAUUACUGUGGGCAUGUCAUAUCAGAGCUAAAGUUUUGUCCUUAAGCUACUUUGUCUCGCCCCUGCAUCCAUUGACCCUCACUGAGCCAUACAUUCUACUAGCUGUAGCUUGCUUUGCUCCCUGCUAUUCUAUCCCUUGUUCUGAUGUAUAAUUAGUCGGUUUGACCAACAAAAGAUAAAGUAAUUGGUAUCUAUUUGUGUCUUGACCUCUUGUUCUAGUGGAAAUCCUAGAGAAAGUCCAUCUUCUUGCUAACUGAACCCUGCAUUGCAGGAGGGAAUUGCAACAUUAGGCUGCUUCUCCAAUUCUUAUAUACCUGUUAGUCUGUUACAUUGAUGCUAGAAUGGAUCAAUAAAUCUGAUAGGCAGUUUUAGAUUUCUAGAAAGUUAUGAGAGAUGACCUUGUCAGUAGAAAAAUAAACAUUUCUGCGAGAUUAUGAAACAUAGACACGAAUGCUUGCAUUAGGGUAGGCUGUCUACAACACAUCCCUUGGGGUGCGCCCCUUCCUCGGAACCCUACGUGAACGCGGGAUGACUUGUGUACCGGGUUGUCCAAUUAUGAAACAUAGACACGAGGGGGGGGGGGGGGAGGAAAGAGAGAAUAAGAGAGUUUAUGAAACAUAUGACUGAAAUAUGUGAGUUGCAAGAUGUUGAUUUAUAAAAGGAAAAACGUCUAGUAACACCUGAAAGAGUGGUAUGAACUGCACAUUUGGAUAGAACAGCUUGAGACCUGAUAACCUCUUUCUAAGAGUGGUAUGAACUGCACAUUUGGAUAGAACAGCUUGAGACCUGAUAACCUCUUUCCUCAGAUAAGUUAAAAACAGUAGUUUCUCAUAGUGGAUUUCUUUUUCAAGUUGUUUUUGCUUCUUAUAGUAGUUCCUUAAUAAUGAAGCACUAUCAGCAGCAGCCUCCACUUCUGUUUGUCUCAUUGCUUGUGCUAAUGUGUGCAAAACAGGACUGAUAAUGGGGCCUCUCUUUUGCUGAGCUCAACUUACUGAGGCCACUCGCUGCAUAUGCUGUUCUCUUUUAUCCUUAACCUUGUUUUCUGUGAUGUGGAAAUGAAGAAAAAAGAAAAUGUUUAUAGUGGUGCUUUCAUUUUUUUUCCCCCCUUCUCCCACUCAAUUAUCUCUUAUUACCCUUCCACUCAAUUUGGGAAGUCUUGGCGUAACUGGUAAAGUUGCUGCCAUGUGACCAGGAGGUCACAGAUUCGACCCGUGGAAACAGCCUCUUGCAGAAAACUGCGUACAAUAGACCUUUGUGGUCCGGCCAUUACCUGGACCCCGUGCAUAGCGGAAACUUAGUGCACCAGGCUGCCCUACCUUCCUGUUAAGAGUUGUGAAGGAUUUUGAUAUCUCUUUCUGACCAAACCAGGUGAUUGUUUUAUGGCUGAUCUUAGUGGGGUUCUUGAUUUUGUUUAUGGGCAAGCUACUCGUGAUUUCAUAUUUCAAAUAAUCUUAUCUUAAUAACAUAGCUUAUAGAAUUAUCCGCGGAUUAAGUUAUGCAUGAAAACAUUAAUGGUUUAACUAAGAGUAACAUAGUCCUAAGAUGUUAUUGGAAAUUCAGAUACAAUCAAACAUCUUUAUAACAACCUCGUUCGUUCCGAUAUUGUUUGGAUGCUACAGUGAAGUAUUGUUAUAAUAUAAAAAUCGAUUCUAAGAAAAACUUAGCUUUUAUAGAAAAUGACUGUUAUAGAUGUUAUAGAGAGGUCUUACUUUAUAUAUGAAGGUCUUACUUUAUAUAUGAAAUGAUGUUCAUUUCUUGAAAUAAAGACUCAUUGCCAUUCAUGUAAAACAAAACAACAUGAAGAAAAUGAAACUGAGAAAACAUUCUCUGUCUCUCUUUUCAGUGAAGCAGAUUUGUGCAAGGAGUGAUGGAUAGGUUUGAUGAUUCAGCUUUGAGAUGAGCAGUGGUGCAUGGAACAUCUUCGAGAUCGCAUAAAUCAGGGAAAAUACUGUUAAAUUGAAGAACUGUAAGCAUCUGACGAAGGUCUGAAGCCUCUUCUUUUAACUGUGCAUUUUCUUGAAGUACUUUAUCAUGACAAUCCGAGACUUGGUUUAACUUAUCGAUCAAAUUAUGAUUCUCCGUCCUAAGACGAAGAACUUGUGACCAUAGUUCAUCAAGGUGUUUUUGUUUCCUCAUCCUUGAUCUUCUUGCUGAUUCCCUAUUAGAUAUCAUCCUCCUUUUCUUUCUCUCGUCGAUGAUCCUAAGUUGCUGCUCGUCUGCUUCAUCAGAGGUAGAGUUACCGCUGAUGC